Molecule: long non-coding RNA, 2099 nt
Filed under: Malus domestica (apple)
Lineage: Eukaryota; Viridiplantae; Streptophyta; Magnoliopsida; Rosales; Rosaceae
Description: long non-coding RNA (MDOM_LNC014826)
Source: RNAcentral
AAUGAAUUGUUCUUUUACAAAGCGCAUCACCAAACUUGAUUUCCCCAAGAAGCACCUAAAGAAGAACAUCAAACAUCACUGUGGUGAUCAUGACAUGCAAUACCCAAAGAAAAAUAAUUUAAGAAAAAAUAAACCUAUUCAUCACACAAUGCUAAAAUACAUAUGCCUACAUAUCCAUAAUUUCUAUGUUUACGGAACACCUUUCGAUAAGUCACAACCUUCAUUUUAAAAUGGACUUUUGUAUUUGUAUUUUGCUUGUGAGUAUGGUCUUGGUUAAAACUUCGCAUUCUAGCAUUUACUUAUAUGAUAUCAUAUAGCAAGAAAGCUAUGAGACCCAAGUCACAAUUUAUUGUAUUCUCAUAGACCCUCAAAAUACUAGAGCUAGACAAAGAUAAACAACACGAUAGAGAAACUUCUGCUUUACAUGUACAUUGACAUUUGCAUGUGCAAAGCUCUCUUUCCUCCUUUCCUUUCUUUUCUUCCUCACCUUUCGAAUCUUUCUCCUAGAUUAAGGAGAUUGUUGUUUUGUUGUUAGUGGUUGCCAUCAUCAUCACAUUGAAAUCAACUUUAGUUAAUACUAGCCUCCUGCACGCGCUCACGGGCGUGCGGAAGGCCCUUUUGUAAUUAAGGCAUUCUACGUGCGACUUAAAUAAUUUAAAUGAUAACAAAAGAGCGGUUGCUCUCUGAUCUAAUUGCAGACACAAUCUGCAGAACCGUCUUCUAUGGGAUUUGAACUUGUGAAGUGUGAGGUGGAGACCUGAAUGUAACAAAUUGGUGUUAAGUGAAUAAUUCCAAACAUAUAAAAUUUAGAUCAUCACACCGAACGCAAACAGAACAAUUAAAUAAACAACUGAAGGCAUACGCAAUCUAAUUAGACAAAUAAGUGAACUUUCCCAUGCCGAAAUCUGAAAGGCCAACAGAAAUAUCUCAUUACAGCACAGAAGACAAAACUUAGGACAAAACUUAAAACUAAUCAAACUUAGGUGAACCAAUUAUAGAGAACAUAACCCUUGUAACCAAUCGGGAAAAGAUGCUUUUAAAUCCCAGAAAAAAAAAUUAAGAGGAGUUUUUUAAAAAACCAUCAUUUCAAUUAUUUUCCAGUCUUACAUUUGGAUUAAACAGAAAAUAUAAGUAAAAAUGCCAACUUUCUAAAAAAACUACAACUAUUUUUACAAAUUUCCAUUACCCAAUGCUGAAAAAUGAGAAUCACGAAGCAAUGAAGAACGGAACACGCGAGAACCAAAAAGUUAAAAACAACACGUAACCAUUUCAAAGACCCAAAAUCCUGCAAGGACAAAAAAAUCCCAUAAAAUCAGUACAUCAGCACUCCCUGCAAAACCCCAAAAUCAGAAAAUUAUAAAAAGAACCCAAAAUCAGUGGCAUGGUCCUCGUUUCUCCAUCAUUCAGUAGCUAAUGACCUAAUGGAAAAGAACCCAAAACAUACAGCUUAAAAUAUGGAAAGUGCUUAUAAAAGCUCAUGAAUAACGUUCAAAGCCUGCAUAGAAAUGGUAUAGCGCAGAUAACAACAAACAAUAAAACUAUGCACAGUAUAACCUAAAUCCGAUAUGUUGCAUUCCCCACACACAGAUUGUUCAAAAUUAAUUUCGUCUCCGUCUUUUUUCAAAUCUGAUAAAAUCCCCAAAACACAAAAAAUAGCAGCUAACUAUUUUUUGAACUCUGUAAACAACGAUAUGCAUCUUAACCCAUUUAACAUAUUCAUAAAAUAACAUCAAACACAUUUAUGCAUGAGAUAAUAUAGAAGUGAAGUCUCACAACUUUCAUAAAAAAUUAUUACUUUGUUAGAGAAAGGCUUGAAAAAAUAUGUAAAUUACUCACCUCUAUUACAAAAAUGUUACAACAGUAGACAAAAAAGGCCAAAAAUACCAAAAGCCGCACCUCCUGAAAUAAAAAACAUAACCAAACGACACAUUCUCAGUAUCUAAACGAUAUCCAGAAAAAAAGAAAUGAACAGACGAAACCCAUGUAAAUAUACAGAACAAACCAAAAAAAAAAAAAAGAACUGAAGCCAGUAAGAAGAUCACAAAUCUGAUAAAGCAAAAGGUAACAUAAUCUAUAUCGAUUUAAUUAUCCAUCCAAAA